Molecule: non-coding RNA, 134 nt
Organism: Triticum urartu
Lineage: Eukaryota; Viridiplantae; Streptophyta; Magnoliopsida; Poales; Poaceae
Source: Rfam
UUUAUACAGUUCCCUCUUCGAAAAUACUUGUCAUCAAAAUGGAUAAAAAGAGAUAUAUCUAAAACUAAUAUACAUUUAGACACAUCCUUUUAUUCAUUUUGAUGACAAAUAUUUCCGGACGGAGGGAGUAUAUA